CAAGUCGAACGAGAAAGUGGAGCAAUCCAUAAGUAAAGUGGCGUACGGGUGAGUAACACGUGGAUCAUCUGCCCUUUUGUGGGGAAUACCGCUGGGAAACCGGCGACAAUACCGCAUAAGCCCGAGAGGGGAAAGCAGCAAUGCGCAGAAGGAGGAGUCCGCGGUCGAUUAGUUAGUUGGCGGGGUAAAGGCCCACCAAGACUGUGAUCGAUAGCCGGCCUGAGAGGGCACACGGCCACACUGGCACUGAAACACGGGCCAGACUCCUACGGGAGGCAGCAGUGGGGAAUCUUGCACAAUGGGGGAAACCCUGAUGCAGCGACGCCGCGUGAGCGAUGAAGCCCCUCGGGGUGUAAAGCUCUUUCGGCAGGGAAGAUUAUGACGGUACCUGCAAAAGCAGCUGCGGCUAACUACGUGCCAGCAGCCGCGGUAAUACGUAGGCAGCAAGCGUUGUUCGGAGUUACUGGGCGUAAAGGGUGCGUAGGCGGCUUUUUAAGUUUGGUGUGAAAUCUCCCGGCUCAACUGGGAGGGUGCGCCGAAUACUGAGAGGCUAGAGUGUGGGAGAGGAAAGUGGAAUUCCUGGUGUAGCGGUGAAAUGCGUAGAUAUCAGGAGGAACACCGGUGGUGUAAACGGCUUUCUGGACCAUAACUGACGCUGAGGCACGAAAGCGUGGGUAGCAAACAGGAUUAGAUACCCUGGUAGUCCACGCCCUAAACGAUGCAUAUUUGGUGUGGGCCAUUCAUUUGGUCUGUGCCGGAGCUAACGCGUUAAAUAUGCCGCCUGGGGAGUACAGUCGCAAGGCUGAAACUCAAAGGAAUUGACGGGGGCCCGCACAAGCGGUGGAGCAUGUGGUUUAAUUC
RNAcentral lists this ribosomal RNA (861 nucleotides) under uncultured Bacillota bacterium. RNAcentral's name for it is "bacterial SSU rRNA". It matches the Rfam family "Bacterial small subunit ribosomal RNA", at positions 58 to 952 of the family's 1533-position model. Lineage: Bacteria; Bacillati; Bacillota. The record is from RNAcentral.